GAUGAACGCUGCGGCGUGCCUAAUACAUGCAAGUCGAGCGAACGGACGAGAAGCUUGCUUCUCUGAUGUUAGCGGCGGACGGGUGAGUAACCCGUGGAUAACCUACCUAUAAGACUGGGAUAACUUCGGGAAACCGGAGCUAAUACCGGAUAAUAUUUUGAACCGCAUGGUUCAAAAGUGAAAGACGGUCUUGCUGUCACUUAUAGAUGGAUCCGCGCUGCAUUAGCUAGUUGGUAAGGUAACGGCUUACCAAGGCAACGAUGCAUAGCCGACCUGAGAGGGUGAUCGGCCGCACUGGAACUGAGACACGGUCCAGACUCCUACGGGAGGCAGCAGUAGGGAAUCUUCCGCAAUGGGCGAAAGCCUGACGGAGCAACGCCGCGUGAGUGAUGAAGGUCUUCGGAUCGUAAAACUCUGUUAUUAGGGAAGAACAUAUGUGUAAGUAACUGUGCACAUCUUGACGGUACCUAAUCAGAAAGCCACGGCUAACUACGUG
This 496-nucleotide ribosomal RNA is filed under the name uncultured bacterium. RNAcentral describes it as "partial 16S ribosomal RNA". It matches the Rfam family "Bacterial small subunit ribosomal RNA", at positions 28 to 507 of the family's 1533-position model. The record is from RNAcentral.